This 189-nucleotide ribosomal RNA is filed under the name Racocetra fulgida. Its description in RNAcentral is "partial 18S ribosomal RNA". It matches the Rfam family "Eukaryotic small subunit ribosomal RNA", at positions 1644 to 1830 of the family's 1831-position model. The record is from RNAcentral. Lineage: Eukaryota; Fungi; Glomeromycota; Glomeromycetes; Diversisporales; Gigasporaceae.
AUUACGUCCCUGCCCUUUGUACACACCGCCCGUCGCUACUACCGAUUGAAUGGCUUAGUGAGACCCUCGGAUCGACGAAUGGAAACCUUUACGGGUAUCUAUUUGUUGAAAAGUUGGUCAAACUUGGUCAUUUAGAGGAAGUAAAGGUCGUAACAAGGUUUCCGUAGGUGAACCUGCGGAAGGAUCAUU